RNAcentral lists this ribosomal RNA (482 nucleotides) under uncultured bacterium. Its description in RNAcentral is "bacterial SSU rRNA". It matches the Rfam family "Bacterial small subunit ribosomal RNA", at positions 43 to 524 of the family's 1533-position model. The record is from RNAcentral.
CAGGCCUACACAUGCAAGUCGAGCGGUAGAGAGAAGCUUGCUUCUCUUGAGAGCGGCGGACGGGUGAGUAAUGCCUAGGAAUCUGCCUGGUAGUGGGGGAUAACGUUCGGAAACGGACGCUAAUACCGCAUACGUCCUACGGGAGAAAGCAGGGGACUUCGGGCCUUGCGCUAUCAGAUGAGCCUAGGUCGGAUUAGCUAGUUGGUGAGGUAAUGGCUCACCAAGGCGACGAUCCGUACUGGUCUGAGAGGAUGAUCAGUCACACUGGAACUGAGACACGGUCCAGACUCUACGGGAGGCAGCAGUGGGGAAUAUUGGACAAUGGGCGAAAGCCUGAUCCAGCCAUGCCGCGUGUGUGAAGAAGGUCUUCGGAUUGUAAAGCACUUUAAGUUGGGAGGAAGGGCAGUUACGUAAUACGUGAUUGUUUUGACGUUACCGACAGAAUAAGCACCGGCUAACUCUGUGCCAGCAGCCGCGGUAAU